Molecule: ribosomal RNA, 465 nt
Filed under: uncultured Entrophospora
Lineage: Eukaryota; Fungi; Glomeromycota; Glomeromycetes; Entrophosporales; Entrophosporaceae
Description: SSU rRNA
Rfam family: Eukaryotic small subunit ribosomal RNA
Source: RNAcentral
AGCAGCCGCGGUAAUUCCAGCUCCAAUAGCGUAUAUUAAAGUUGUUGCAGUUAAAAAGCUCGUAGUUGAAUUUCGGGAUUGGCGCAUCGGUCGUGCCUCACGAGGUAUGAACUGGUGCAGUCAAUUUCUCACCUUCUGGAGAACCGCGAUGUCCUUAAUUGGAUGCCGCGGGGAACCAGGACCUUUACUUUGAAAAAUUAGAGUGUUUAAAGCAGGCAUUUUUGCUUGAAUACAUUAGCAUGGAAUAAUAAAAUAGGACGGCAUGGUUCUAUUUUGUUGGUUUCUAGGACCACCGUAAUGAUUAAUAGGGAUAGUUGGGGGCAUUAGUAUUCAAUUGUCAGAGGUGAAAUUCUUGGAUUUAUUGAAGACUAACUACUGCGAAAGCAUUUGCCAAGGAUGUUUUCAUUAAUCAAGAACGAAAGUUAGGGGAUCGAAGACGAUCAGAUACCGUCGUAGUCUUAACCA